UACCAGACUCCUACGGGAGGCAGCAGUGGGGAAUAUUGCGCAAUGGGCGAAAGCCUGACGCAGCGACGCCGCGUGAGGGAUGAAGGUCUUCGGAUCGUAAACCUCUGUCAGCAGGGAAGAACGGUCACUGUGCUAAUCAGCAGUGAAUUGACGGUACCUGCAAAGGAAGCACCGGCUAACUACGUGCCAGCAGCCGCGGUAAUACGUAGGGGGCGAGCGUUGUCCGGAAUCACUGGGCGUAAAGGGCGCGUAGGCGGUAAUAUAAGUCAGAUGUGAGAGGUGGGGGCUCAACCCCUAGAGUGCAACUGAUACUGUAUAACUUGAGUGUGAGAGAGGGAAGCGGAAUUCCUAGUGUAGCGGUGAAAUGCGUAGAUAUUAGGAGGAACACCAGUGGCGAAGGCGGCUUUCUGGCUCAUAACUGACGCUGAGGCGCGAAAGCGUGGGGAGCAAACAGGAUUAGAUACCCCUGUAU
RNAcentral lists this ribosomal RNA (472 nucleotides) under uncultured bacterium. RNAcentral describes it as "partial 16S ribosomal RNA". It matches the Rfam family "Bacterial small subunit ribosomal RNA", at positions 329 to 793 of the family's 1533-position model. The record is from RNAcentral.